Long non-coding RNA from Toxotes jaculatrix (banded archerfish), 658 nucleotides. RefSeq lists it as uncharacterized. NCBI's taxonomy places the organism in Eukaryota, Metazoa, Chordata, Actinopteri, Toxotidae. The record is from RefSeq and is a predicted model, not a curated record. The transcript has 3 exons.
UGCUUCUUCCUGUCUCUGCAGGAGUCUGGUCCCUCGGUUUGACUCCAGAGACCCACGGUGGACUGCUGUGGACCGCUGUGGACAGCUGUGUCAGGGUGUGACUGACAUACCAGAGGAAUCAAACCGACACACUACAUGACCAGACAGCUCCACCGCGGCUCCUCAGUGUGAAUAUAAAUCACCAGCUGUCCGACUGGAACCGACCAAACCUCAGCAACAGACUCAGAGUGAUUCACCCAAACCUGCUGCAGCCUGGAUCCAGCUCUCAGCGUUAACAUCUGUGUGGAGCAGCUCAGCGUCGGUGGAGCUGGACUCCACCUUCACAAACCAAACUGUCCAACUAUAAAGUGGUUUUGGUCCACAGACCAGUUGGUGGACCAGCAGUUCUGCCACAUCCCAGAGGUGGUCUGCUGGUUCCAGGUCUGCAGACUGGGGAGGCCACUGGCAUGUUCAUGAAACCAGUUUGUGACCUGGAGCCGCAUCCUGCUGGAAGGAGGGAGGCUGGGUCCCAGGGGUCAAAGGCUGCAGCAUGCCUCGCUCUCCCCUCAGGCAGAGGAAGACUCCACAAACAGUCUGACUCCAUUGGCUUUAAACUUCAGUCACAGUGAAACAGGUUUUAACCAAAGUGUGAGUUUAAUGUGAGGAACCUGCACAAACU